Molecule: ribosomal RNA, 448 nt
Filed under: uncultured bacterium
Lineage: Bacteria
Description: partial 16S ribosomal RNA
Rfam family: Bacterial small subunit ribosomal RNA
Source: RNAcentral
AACGAACGCUGACGGCAGGCUUAACACAUGCAAGUCGAGCGCAUCCUUCGGGGUGAGCGGCAGACGGGUGAGUAACGCGUGGGAACGUACCCUUUCCUACGGAAUAGCUCCGGGAAACUGGAAUUAAUACCGUAUACGCCCUAGGGGGAAAGAUUUAUCGGGGAAGGAUCGGCCCGCGUGGGAUUAGCUAGUUGGUGGGGUAAAGGCCUACCAAGGCGACGAUCCAUAGCUGGUCUGAGAGGAUGAUACGCCACACUGGGACUGAGACACGGCCCACACUCCUCCGGGAGGCAGCAGUGGGGAAUAUUGGACAAUGGGCGCAAGCCUGAUCCAGCCAUGCCGCGUGAGUGAUGAAGGCCUUAGGGUUGUAAAGCUCUUUCAGUAGGGAAGAUAAUGACGGUACCUACAGAAGAAGCCCCGGCUAACUUCGUGCCAGCCGCCGCGGUAA